RNAcentral lists this transfer RNA (77 nucleotides) under Lactobacillus crispatus 214-1. RNAcentral's name for it is "tRNA-Gln". It matches the Rfam family "tRNA". Rfam says of the family: Transfer RNA (tRNA) molecules are approximately 80 nucleotides in length. Lineage: Bacteria; Bacillati; Bacillota; Bacilli; Lactobacillales; Lactobacillaceae. The record is from RNAcentral.
UUGGGUUAUAGCCAAGUGGUAAGGCAAUGGUUUUUGGUACCAUCAUGCGCUGGUUCGAAUCCAGCUAACCCAAUAGU